CACGUAGGGGGCGAGCGUUGUCCGGAUUUAUUGGGCGUAAAGAGCUCGUAGGUGGUUCGGUAAGUCGGGUGUUAAACCCCCAGGCUCAACCUGGGGACGCCACUCGAUACUGCUGUGACUAGAGUCCGGUAGGGGAGCGUGGAAUUCCUGGUGUAGCGGUGAAAUGCGCAGAUAUCAGGAGGAACACCAGCGGCGAAGGCGGCGCUCUGGGCCGGUACUGACACUGAGGAGCGAAAGCGUGGGUAGCAAACAGG
This 254-nucleotide ribosomal RNA is filed under the name uncultured bacterium. Its description in RNAcentral is "partial 16S ribosomal RNA". It matches the Rfam family "Bacterial small subunit ribosomal RNA", at positions 524 to 776 of the family's 1533-position model. The record is from RNAcentral.